CAAUUGAAAAUUGUUAUCUCAAUCCAGCAGCAUCAGUCCUUGGCUUUACUUUCUCUAUCAAACCAGUCACUUCGUUCCUUUUUAGAAGCAAGGAGUAUAUGGAAUAUUACUAUGACUAUUUUAUGCUUUCUUCGCCCAUAGGGAGGGAUUCUAAUGGGCUUGCUCCCCGAUUAUACUUUCUCCAUUAUAGCAGCUUUCAUAUCAGUCCCUUUGAUAGCCUAUAGCCCUUCCCCAUUUGUAAUGCCUUCUCCCUCCUUUUCUUUUUUAAGGGUGAAAGCAAGUGAGGAUAGUUUACUUUAAGAUGAAAAAAAAUCAAAGCAAGUUAGAGAAGUCAAAUAAGAAAUUUAAGGCAUUCCAGCCCAUAAAAUUGGAGUGCCAAUUGUAGUCCUUCUGCAAGCAAGCCGCUCAAUUGAAGUGAUAGGAUAAGCCCUUCCUGUUGAAGUUCCCCUCACUACGGUUGAUGUUUAAGUGAAAGUUGGACUUUCUUUUACAGCAGUUGCAUGCUAGAAAGUUAGUGAACCAGCCAGUCAAGAAGCAGUCUCAGCUUAAUAUUAUGCGUAAGGAUAUUAUGCCUAAGGAGUUUUUGCCUCCUUGUAUAAGGCAUGUA
This 607-nucleotide long non-coding RNA is filed under the name Elaeis guineensis (African oil palm). RNAcentral describes it as "long non-coding RNA (EGUI_LNC046101)". The record is from RNAcentral. Lineage: Eukaryota; Viridiplantae; Streptophyta; Magnoliopsida; Arecales; Arecaceae.